This 67-nucleotide transfer RNA is filed under the name Marmota monax (woodchuck). RNAcentral describes it as "tRNA.Ala". Lineage: Eukaryota; Metazoa; Chordata; Mammalia; Rodentia; Sciuridae. The record is from RNAcentral.
GGUUGUGACUCAGUGAUAGAGUGCUUGCCUAGCAUGCGUGAGGCACUGGGUUCGAUCCCGGGCACCA